Molecule: ribosomal RNA, 338 nt
Filed under: uncultured Fusibacter sp.
Lineage: Bacteria; Bacillati; Bacillota; Clostridia; Eubacteriales; Fusibacteraceae
Description: bacterial SSU rRNA
Rfam family: Bacterial small subunit ribosomal RNA
Source: RNAcentral
AUGGUUGUCGUCAGCUCGUGUCGUGAGGAUGUUGGUUAAGUCCCGCAACGAGCGCAACCCUUGUGUUUAGUUGCCAACAGAUAAUGCUGUGCACUCUAAACAGACUGCCGUGGAUAACACGGAGGAAGGUGGGGAUGACGUCAAAUCAUCAUGCCCCUUAUGAUCUGGGCUACACACGUGCUACAAUGGUCGGUACAACGGGCAGCGAAAGAGUAAUCUGGAGCGAAUCCUAAAAAGCCGAUCCCAGUUCGGAUUGUGGGCUGAAACUCGCCCACAUGAAGUUGGAGUUGCUAGUAAUCGCGGAUCAGAAUGCCGCGGUGAAUGCGUUCCCGGGUCUU